RNAcentral lists this ribosomal RNA (506 nucleotides) under uncultured bacterium. RNAcentral describes it as "partial 16S ribosomal RNA". It matches the Rfam family "Bacterial small subunit ribosomal RNA", at positions 29 to 523 of the family's 1533-position model. The record is from RNAcentral.
AGUGAACGCUGGCGGUAGGCCUAACACAUGCAAGUCGAACGGCAGCACAGGAGAGCUUGCUCUCUGGGUGGCGAGUGGCGGACGGGUGAGGAAUACAUCGGAAUCUACUCUGUCGUGGGGGAUAACGUAGGGAAACUUACGCUAAUACCGCAUACGACCUACGGGUGAAAGCAGGGGAUCUUCGGACCUUGCGCGAUUGAAUGAGCCGAUGUCGGAUUAGCUAGUUGGCGGGGUAAAGGCACACCAAGGCGACGAUCCGUAGCUGGUCUGAGAGGAUGAUCAGCCACACUGGAACUGAGACACGGUCCAGCCUCCUACGGGAGGCAGCAGUGGGGAAUAUUGGACAAUGUGCGCAAGCCUGAUCCAGCCAUACCGCGUGGGUGAAGAAGGCCUUCGGGUUGUAAAGCCCUUUUGUUGGGAAAGAAAUCCAGCUGGCUAAUACCCGGUUGGGAUGACGGUACCCAAAGAAUAAGCACCGGCUAACUUCGUGCCAGCCGCCGCAGUAA